GACGAACGCUGGCGGCGUGCUUAACACAUGCAAGUCGAACGGAAAGGCCCUGCUUUUGUGGGGUGCUCGAGUGGCGAACGGGUGAGUAACCCGUGAGUAACCUGCCCUUGACUGUGGGAUAACUUCUGGAAGCUGGGGCUAAUACCGGAUAGGAGCACCUGUUGCAUGGUGGGGGUUGGAAAGGUUCGGCGGUUGGGGUUGGAAUCGCGGCUUAUCAGCUUGUUGGUGGGGAAGUGGCUUACCAAGGCUUUGACGGGUAGCCGGCCUGAGAGGGUGACCGGCCACAUUGGGACUGAGAUACGGCCCAGACUCGUACGGGAGGCAGCAGUGGGGAAUAUUGCACAAUGGGCGGAAGCCUGAUGCAGCAACGCCGCGUGCGGGAUGACGGCCUUCGGGUUGUAAACCGCUUUCGCCUGUGACGAAGCGUGAGUGACGGUAAUGGGUAAAGAAGCACCGGCUAACUACGUG
This 468-nucleotide ribosomal RNA is filed under the name uncultured bacterium. Its description in RNAcentral is "partial 16S ribosomal RNA". It matches the Rfam family "Bacterial small subunit ribosomal RNA", at positions 28 to 507 of the family's 1533-position model. The record is from RNAcentral.